Molecule: non-coding RNA, 112 nt
Organism: Acanthosepion pharaonis
Lineage: Eukaryota; Metazoa; Mollusca; Cephalopoda; Sepiida; Sepiidae
Source: the annotation of a GenBank genome assembly
UUACGGCCGUAUCACGUUGAAACACCGGUGUCCGUGCAAUCAGCGAAGUUAAGCAACGUCGAGCCUGGUCAGUACGUAAAUGGGUUACCACUUGGGAAUAUCCGCAUUGUAA